AGGACGAACGCUGGCGGCGUGCCUAACACAUGCAAGUCGAACGGGGGUAGCAAUACCCCAGUGGCGAACGGGUGCGUAACACGUGAGGAAUCUGUCCAUCGGCGGGGGGAUAGCCGGCCCAACGGCCGGGUAAUACCGCGUACGUCGGCGAGAGCGCAUGCUCAUGCCGGGAAAGCAGCAAUGCACCGAUGGAGGAUCUCGCGGCCUAUCAGCUUGUGGUGAGGUAACGGCUCACCAAGGCGACGACGGGUAGCUGGUCUGAGAGGAUGAUCAGCCACAUUGGGACUGAGACACGGCCCAGACUCCUACGGGAGGCAGCAGUGGGGAAUAUUGCGCAAUGGGGGAAACCCUGACGCAGCGACGCCGCGUGUGGGAUGACGGGCCUUCGGUUGUAAACCACUGUCGCGAGGACGAAGAUCUGACGGUACCGUACGAAAGGAAGACGACCGCGUAACUCUGUGCCAGCAGCCGAC
RNAcentral lists this ribosomal RNA (473 nucleotides) under uncultured soil bacterium. RNAcentral's name for it is "bacterial SSU rRNA". It matches the Rfam family "Bacterial small subunit ribosomal RNA", at positions 26 to 518 of the family's 1533-position model. The record is from RNAcentral.